This 31-nucleotide non-coding RNA is filed under the name Mus musculus (house mouse). The record is from RNAcentral. Lineage: Eukaryota; Metazoa; Chordata; Mammalia; Rodentia; Muridae.
UUCACUUUCAGUGAGUGCAUACCAUGUGUGU